AAAUUAAAAAUAAGACAAGUCAUGGAUUGACAUUAAUAUAAUUUGCCCACAUCACUUCAGCAAUUUGAUCUCUACAAGCUGCCAUAGCUGCUGCACUCUCAUAUGAUAAAUCAAUUGAAUGGUUUCUGCUACUUGUGCUCUCUUCUUCACCUUCGAUUGAAAGGUCUUCUACCUCAUAUUCUCUAAACAAUUGAUCAUUUUGAGUUGAUAGACGAAUCCAAUUAUGAAGGGUACAACAUGCAACAACAAUUGAUGGUUGCCUACUUGGCGCUUAUAACAAGGCAUCAUCCUUAAUAUUGGAAAUUGGGUCUUUAAAACACCAAAACAUCUUUCAAUAAUAUUCCGAAGAAAUGAAUGUCUAUAAUUAAAAAGUUCUUUAUACCUGAUAGGUUGAUUACGUCUACCCCGAUAUUCUUGUAAAUGAUACCGCUCACCUCGAUAUGGUGGCAAAAAUCUAGAUAUACAAGGAUAACCAGAAUCAACUACAUAAUAUUUUCCUUCACUUGGCCAAGGAAAAUUGACUUCUGGUCUAGUCAAUGCAUCUAAAAAGACACGUGCAUCGUUUGCUAUUCCUUCCCAACCAGCAUAAACAAAUGUAAACAUCAUGUCAAAAUUACAUGCACACAUAACAUUUUGUGUUAUAACUGUUUUUCUACCUCUAAAACUGGUUUGUCUAUCAGCUGGGACCCAUGCACUAAUAUGAGUGCCAUCAAUUGCACCAAUACAGUCCUACAACAACAAACAUUUAUUAUUAUUAAGGAAAUAAAUUAAAUAAUCGUCAUGAAAUUCACAUUUAUAAAUAUUUUUUUAUAAACUCUUACCUUAAACCAUGGAAAAUAUUUAGGAUUACUAGCAACAUAUGAAGACACCUCAUUGGUCAUAUUGUUAGGACAUAUGAGAAUUUUGCCAAGUCGACAUAAUGCACGUCUAACUUCUUUAAAGUGUCGAGCGACAGUCUCUGUGGAGUGUUGAAAACGGUAUGCUACAACCCUCAUUCUCACAUUAUGUCCUACGAUUAGUAAGAACAUAGCCACUGCCUCUUCAACUGUGACAAAUCGUGUAUCCUGUAAGUUUUCAUGUCUCUUAAGAUGAUCACAAAGGUUCAUAAAUGUUUCUUUAUCCAUCCGAAAUAGUUCAUAGCAUGUCUGAGGAUGACCUUCUAUCAUAUCUCUUACAAAUUGUGCACCACUUAACAUUGAUGUCCUUUGAGUGUCUUGCAUAAAAAUAUUUCCUCAUACUCAUUCAUAAUGUGAGCAAUAAAAAUUUCAUCUAAAUCAUCACCCUCUUCAGAAGAUGAAGUUGACUCAUAUAGUUCACCACUGCUUGUGUUAUUAUCAUCCAUUGGUUACUACAUAAAACAAAUGAACUCACAAUAUAAAAUAACACGAAAUGAAUAUUAAAGUAGUUAUAAUAUAAGUUUCAUAACCAUAAAUAACAUCCAUACAAUGACAAACUAAAGAGCAUGGUAAAAGAUUCUAACCAAAAGAUAAAUAGUACAUAUUACAAUGUCAUCAUAAUAGUUAUGCAUCCAAACAUUCACAUUUAAAGUCUAUCAAGCCAUGCCAUUUUCCUCUCAUCAGGCAUAUUCAUAAAUAUCUCUCUCCAAUCCGGCACUGUGAAUUUCUCAACAGCUUUUAAAUAUUUGUCAUUAUCUAACAGUUCAAUGGUUUGUAAGGCUGCCAUGCACCUUGUUAUGCUAAAAUCAGUGGUACCUCCACUAGUAGCUUCACUACUAGUUCCACUCUUAUAUCUGUCCACUCUAGCCAAUAAUGCCUCAGUUCUAGCUCGAGAUGUUUCUGUUCUAGCCUUUGAUGCCUCAACCCAAGCUUUCAAAGCAUCUCCCAUUUGACUUAAUCUGGAUUCUUUCUUACCUUUACGCUCUAAUAGAGAAUCAGUUACACGCUUUCCAGAACGGGUGGUCACUCCUCCUGCCAUUUCUGGUUGUGGAGGAUCAUCAGGGAUCUCAGUAUCUACAUCCACAUGCACUCCACCAUGUUCCAAAUUGUCAUCCAUCUCAUCUUCAUCAUCAGUGUUUGGUGGAUCUUGGGUGGAAGAGUAGUGGAGGGCAUUGGUUGCUGUUGAUGGAUUAAAGAUCAAUCCCAACAAGUUGUAGUUUGGGCAUCCCUUUGAGUGGAAUCUUUUUGCAUUUGGGUGUGCCUAAUAGAAGGAAAAAAAAAAAUUCACUCUUAGUGUUUACCAAAUAUUUAAAUUAAAAAGUAAUUAGUUUAAAAGUUAUUUUUACCCGAAUGUAAUUUUGCCAGGUUUCCUCUAGAGCAUGCACUGUGUUAGUUUCAGCAUCUCAACCAAAUCCAGUAUGCUUUAAAAGAUCAGAGAACUCACGGCGCAUUGCACGUAGUCUAUUAAACUUUUGUUUAAGCUGCUUCAAGUUGAAAUUUCUUUUCCCUUGACUAUUGACCUCAAGUAAGAUCCUUCUCCAUGUGUUGGUAUUAAAUGUACCACUAUCCAUGUUACCUUUAUUAACUUCAUUUACCAUGAUGUCAAUAAAGAUUUUCUCUAUAUUACCUCUCCAUGUUCCUGCAUCCUCAACAUCUGUUAUCUUAGUUGUCAUCUGUACAAUCCCAUCACAAAUAAGAACUCUAUGAGAAGACAACUUUUAAAACCACCAAUAGAACUUAAGGCUAUGUUUAAAUGAGAAUUAAGAUUGUUGACGUAUAGUGUAGUGUAUAAAAAUAUGAAAGAAAAAUAAAUAAAAAUAAAAAUAGAUUUGAUAUUAAUUAGAUUUUAAAGACUUUUUUUUUAGUUUUUAUAAAAUUUGAAACAAAAAUUGGGGGAAAAAAAAAUGAAAGAAAAGUAAGUUUGAUUAAUUUUAUAUUUGAUUAAUUUUAAAAUUAAAAUAUUUUUUUAUAUAUUUUAAAAAUAAAUCAAACAUGAUAAAAUCAUUUUUAUUAUUUUUUAUUGAUUUAAUAUUUAAUUUUAUUAAAAAUUAUAGUAUAUUCUAUUAAGAUGAGAUAAAAAAUUUAAAAAGAAUUAAUUUAAUAUUUAUAACUAAUCUAAAUAAAAUAAAUAAGACAUCAAAAUAAUUUAAUAUUUUAAAAAGUUUGAUUUCAAUAAUUUUGAUUUCAAUAAUGUUAAAAAAUUAAUUUUUUAAUGUUUGAUUUACUACAAAAAUAUACAAUUAAAAUUAAUUAAAAUUUAUAUAUUUUAAAUUAUAUAAUCAUAUGAAAAAAUAAAAAUAAGUUUGAAGUAGUAUAUAGAAAAUAAUUUAAUAAUUUUGAUUUUAUUUUUUACUUUAUUAUAAUUUUUUAAUUAUUUUUGCUUUCAUGAAAUCGGAAAGUGGGAAGAAGGGAAGAAGUAGCUUUGCUUGGGCACCAUAGCAUUUCUAAAUCAGACAAGUAUACAAACAAGCAACAAAAAAAUAGGAAAAAUGGAUUAUGAAGGAUGUUUGGUGAGGUGUGGGAAUUUGGAAUUUAUAAAGGGUAGGUUCAAAGUUCAAACACGUGGAGGGUACUGUUGCUUCACGCUGCAUUCAACCCCCAACUCUUAAGGUCUGUUUGUUUAGUGCAGCAUCCAAACAGGCCCAAAGAGUAGAGGUUAACCGGGCUUUGGAGUCUGGAUGAGAGAGAGGAAGAGCAGAUCAAUAGAGAGAAAAGGUUCUUGGUGAUUCAACACCUCAUCCUCUUUUGAUUCUCUUUAUUUUUUCCAUUUUCCUUGAGGUAUUUCACCUGUCAAGACUCAAGCUUGGAUUUUCCCGUUUGAUUUCCAUGUCUUUAAGUAAGGUUUUUGUUUUUUUUUUUAAUAGAACAACUCAACAAAAAUCAAAACGGGAAAAAAUCAGGAAUUUUUGGGCUUAUUUUCAUUCUCGUUCCCCACUUUUCUCAGCAUCCAAACAGGAAAAUAUAAAUGAAAAAAAAAAAACUAAAAGGUGAUAAAAAAAAGCUCAGAUCUCAUUCUAUUUUCAUUCUCAUUUCCUACUUUUCUCAGCAUCCAAACAGGAAAAUAUAAACGGGAAAAAAAGAAACUAACAGCAGGUGAUAAAAAAAAAAAUUCGAAUAACAUAACUGAUAUCUUUUUAUCAGAUCUAACAUUUCCCUCAACAAAUAUUGCCAAAAAAAACCUAUUUUAUUAGAUCUAUAAAAAAUAACUUCAACAUCUGUGGAAAUUACCUUUGUUUCUUGCUGGAGAUGUCGCGACUGUGCUGGAGAAGAGGCGACGCGACUGUGCUGGAGAGAGAUGAGAACGGGAAGAAAAAAAAAAACACGGAGAACAGAUGUGUUUUUUGUUCUUUAAUUUUGUUCUAUAAACAGUACAAAAACGGGGAAAACAACAUUUUGUUGUUCUCUAAAUAGUGCCAUUUUGAGAACACGGGGAACAACAAAAACAAAAAUGACUCU
This 4352-nucleotide long non-coding RNA is filed under the name Vitis vinifera (wine grape). Its description in RNAcentral is "long non-coding RNA (VVIN_LNC002397)". The record is from RNAcentral. Lineage: Eukaryota; Viridiplantae; Streptophyta; Magnoliopsida; Vitales; Vitaceae.